UUCAGUGGCUUCUACAUCUGGCUAGAUACCAGACCAUGGGGAGAAUUAAAAAAUGCAGAGACAGAAGCUAAGCAGGGUUGGGCCUGGUUAGUACUUGGAUGGGAAACCACUUAGGAAGACCAAGUGCUGCAGGCG
RNAcentral lists this ribosomal RNA (135 nucleotides) under Pteropus vampyrus (large flying fox). Lineage: Eukaryota; Metazoa; Chordata; Mammalia; Chiroptera; Pteropodidae. The record is from RNAcentral.